RNAcentral lists this non-coding RNA (89 nucleotides) under Paraliobacillus sp. PM-2. RNAcentral describes it as "c-di-GMP-I riboswitch aptamer". It matches the Rfam family "c-di-GMP-I riboswitch aptamer". Rfam says of the family: GEMM was predicted in a large-scale screen for bacterial structured RNA regulatory elements. Genes associated with GEMM are involved in a diverse array of functions, including chemotaxis regulation, signal transduction, secretion and chitin. RNAcentral also lists the same sequence under 1 other name. Lineage: Bacteria; Bacillati; Bacillota; Bacilli; Caryophanales; Bacillaceae. The record is from Rfam by way of RNAcentral.
UACCGAUAAUAGCAAACUUAUCGAAAGGUAAGGACGCAAAGCUAUGGGUCUAAAGCAACAACUGUUGAUACGAUUGCCAAGCUACCGAA